GACGAACGCUGGCGGUGUGCCUCACACAUGCAAGUCGAACGGGGUAGCAAUACCCAGUGGCGGACGGGUGAGUAACACGUGGGAAUCUGCCCUAAGGUGGGGGAUAGCAGGCCGAAAGGCCUAUUAAUACCGCAUAUGUAUAUGUCCCGACAGGGAUGUAUAUGAAAGGAGCAAUCCGCCUUUGGAUGAGCCCGCGUCCGAUUAGCUAGUUGGUAGGGUAAAGGCCUACCAAGGCGACGAUCGGUAGGUGGUCUGAGAGGAUGAUCACCCACAAUGG
This 277-nucleotide ribosomal RNA is filed under the name uncultured bacterium. RNAcentral describes it as "partial 16S ribosomal RNA". It matches the Rfam family "Bacterial small subunit ribosomal RNA", at positions 28 to 316 of the family's 1533-position model. The record is from RNAcentral.